Molecule: long non-coding RNA, 5964 nt
Filed under: Heterocephalus glaber (naked mole-rat)
Lineage: Eukaryota; Metazoa; Chordata; Mammalia; Rodentia; Bathyergidae
Description: lncRNA (ENSHGLG00000050934.1)
Source: RNAcentral
CCGGCGGCCACGGGCCCCGGCAGGGAGGGGACGGACGGGGACGCCCGGGUGCCGAGGCCGCCGAGCCCCCGAGCCAGCCGCGAGGGUGCCUCCUCGAAGUUCCGGGGCUGCCUGGCGGCGGCUCGCUCUCCUACACGCAGCCCCCGCGCGCUGCCCAGGCUGAGGCUGCGAGAGAAAGCAAGAGUGGGCCGUGGGAGGUGAGAAAAGGGGGCCCCUGCCAGGGCGACCCCUGCCUGGCUCCUAGUCUGGGGGUGGGUGGGCAAGAGGGAGUUUUCGACCUCUUUCCCUUUCGCAGACGCACCGAGAGACCCCCCUGGUCCCCGCAGAUCCUGGAGAUCUGACUUAGAGGCGAAGUGGGGAGAGGGGUUUGGAGACUUUUGAGAAGAGCCACCCAACCCUCGCGGAAAGUCCGGCAGCCACUGAAGGGCCAGAGACCCGUGCGGGUGGCUAGGGUGGGGAGGAGACGGAGAGCAGGUUGAGUCUUCCGCUAGAGGCUUCACCUGGGUUUGCGAAGGCUGGCGCCAGGAACCCCUUUCCAGGCCCCCUGAGCCCGGAUCCGAGGCAGCCCCGCAGAUGCCGGUAGGCAAACUCAGGUUCCUGUGCCCUAGGUGGGCAGAAAGAAGCAGGCUGGAAAAUCAACUUUCCUUCUAAAUUACACACACACACACACGCACACACACGCACUCCCUGGGUUGUUAAUGCAGAGGUGUUAGUUCUGGAGCAAGAAUUAGAUGCAGGUGUGUCCAGAAAGAGUGCACCCUCCGCCCUCAUGUAUACAAACACAUUAACCUUUCCCCUGGCCAGACGAAGACUGUGAAGUAUUUCUAAAAAAUUGGGUGUCCUCGUUACCAAGAGCUGUGGCUUGAUGUUUAUUUCGUCCCUGAAAGUUGGCAAAGGGACAAACCUUUACGGGGUUGCACACAAAAUGUGCUUUUGCCCAUUUGGGUAUUUAACAGGGGAGCUGAUGUUCUGGUGGAUGGGUUUUGAUGAGGAGAUAAGGGCAGCUUCCCAUUUUGGCAGUGGAGGAAUGUUCACCAUAUUUGGAUUUGCUUCACUUCUUGGACACAGAUUCCCAAAGCUCAUGUGAACGUUGGUGAUGGUUCAGAGAGAAAAUUGCAGGCCUCACCCACAGCCUUGACAGCGUAGUUUCUUGGAAUCAAGAGUCAACACUGGGCUAUUUCCAAAGAUUAAAUCUUGAAAGCUCGGUGGGAGGCUGUAGCAGGAGGGCAGAGAUGUCCACACACUCAGAUAUGAAAAAUGGUCUUCCACUAGGAAGUCUUCCUCUUCAGCUAAGGCCCUGGAAGUAGUGAAGAGAAAGGGGCCCUUUCUGACCAUGCUCACAGGGAUGGAUUAAACAGGCCCUAUUUUUGCAAGAAAUGGAGCUGCACAGGGUGGCCAGCUCAUCAUCAGCUGCUCAUGUCACCCUGUUGGGGGCUGUCACCUGUAUGUGGGUCAGGCCCAGCCCAGGGCACGCAGAGUGGAAGCUGCAAUGCUGCCCUCCUUCACUCGCCAAGCAGUAUGUAUUGGGUGUCACCAUGGCCACCUAGACUAUCUGACUCCUCCUUCUAAUCUGCACCAAGGUGCCUUGUAUGGGCAAUGCCAGUACUGACUGUCCCACCCUGUUCCCCAUGCCUGUCCAGAGUUACUGUCCUGACUUUGGGUGAAUUAACAAUGCUCAUGAACUAAUUAUGUUUAAUGUAAAAGAUGAGCUAUUUUAUCUCAAUUUUAGAUAAUUUUAUAGAUGAACAUAAAAAUAUUACCAUUUAUGUGAAGUAUGCAUGUAUAUAUAAAAGUGUGUGUAUAUAUAGAUAUAUAGAUAGUUGGAUAUACAUUUUUAUGUAUCAGAAGUUAGGACAACUUUAAAAAAUAAAAGAAGUCAAGAUGAUUUAAAUUUGGUAACUUUAAAAUAAAAAAAGCUGUUCUGCAGUUUGGAAUCAGUUUUAUAUAUGGAUUUCUGGGCUUCACAGAAAUAUGUACUAUUUGAUUCCAUUUCAGCAGAUAGCCAUGAAGUGCCAGUCGCUGUACUAAACAAUAUGUAUAGAGUAAAGAAAAAUGAUGCAAACACCCUGUGUCUACCUAGUAAUCUAGUAAGGCAGGCAAAUGAUAAGGUCCCAAAUAGAUUUGCAGCUGUAAAUUAUGAUGAGAACUAUGAGAGAAAUGCUAAGAUGGAGAAUAACAAAGCAGAUCUAUUUCAGAUUAUGUGACUGGUAAAAUCCUCAAGUGAAACCCGAGGAGUGAGUUGGAAGGAGUUUAUGAAGUGAGUCCAUUCUGCCAUUUAAAGUAUAGAAGCAUUUGAGUUCAGAAUAAAAUUUGAUGUGUUUAAGAGAAAGUAUAAAAUAAAGCCGAUAACAAAGAAAAGAGAGGCCAGUGGCCAAAUCCAUAGUGUUUUAGUUUGUAAACUGCAAGUAACUAAUGAUGUUACAUCUGUGUAUUUGCCAUUUGCUUUUGCAAGUGUCCUUUCUUCUUUCCUCCCUCAUCCUCAUCCAUCUUUGUCUCUUCCUUUAAAUCCUGGCUCAACGCUCAGUCUUUUCUAGGAAUUUUUCUAGUUGGAACACCCCUUCAGCCAUGGUUCUUCAUUUGCUGAGUAUGUGUGUACUAUGUUUAUUUUCCUAUGUGUUUUGUUGAUAACAUCAGCCUUCACUCUCAUAUGUGUGAGUUGAGUAUCCAUGGAAUUGUAAAUGCAGGGGAUCACAAGGGCAGGAAUUACAUUUCCUUCUCUGGUCUGGCUAAGUCUAGUUGAGUCUCACUGUAUGGUGGCCAACCUCUCAAUAAAUGCUGGUACCUGGGUGAUCUUGUUUGACUUGACGUUUUUUAAAGGUUUAAAGAGGAAGAAAUACAUAUAUUAUAAAAACCUUUCAUUGUUAAGCAGAUGGGAACACCCAGUGCACCAUCCCGAAGGGAGUUCAGGAGACCUUCGCACUGCAGUGUGAUACCAUGGAGCUUGAAGGGCAGCCGACAAACUCAAAGAAUAAAUAUACAUCUUUUAAAAAUUAAAGAUUGGUUGUAGUUUUAGCCUACCCACACAUACCAGCUGCUGAUAGGAGUUUAUCCAUAGUUCUUCAGUCUUUCUUUCCAAAGUCAGCACUUGCUGUGUGCCAGAACCUGCUCUGGGUGCUGGGGAUAGAGCGGUGAACAAAACUUCUCUCAUGGAACUAGUUUUCCUGGAGGGGCGAGAGAAUAAGUUGUUACUGAGUGUGGCUGAUAGCAGUUAGUGCUGUCAGAAGAGGAAUCUUAGGGAAAGGUACAGGGGUUGGGAGAAAUACAGUAGUACCUCAGUACUUAUUUAUUCUAGGAAUGCAAUGAGCACCAAAAAUGACAAGAACCAAGCACAUUGUUUUGGCUGGAAAGGGUAAUGAGUCACAUGGCAUAUGACACUGACAAGUUCUAGCUUGCAAGGCAAGUAUCAAUCAAAACUAGGACAGAAAGGGGCCAGGGAUUUAGCUCAGUGGCUCUGGUGCCUCCCUUGCAAGUGUAAGGUCCCAAGUUCGAUCUCUGGUACAAAAAAACCCCAAACAAACUAGGACAGAAGUUUUGUGUCAAAAUGCGUCCAGUACCAAAUUCCAUGAGUCUUAAAGCAAUCAUUUAUAAACAUUGCCAAGAAAGGUGUCUACUGAGUAGACAUUUGGGCAUACAUGAAGCAAGCGAGCAGGCAGAUAUCUGUAAGCACAGGGAGCAGCAAGUCAGGCUAAGAAGAAAGCAUGCUUGGUAUGUUCAAGGAUUAGCAAAGAGACACACAUGGCUGGAACAGGAUGGGUGACCAAGAAAAUGCCAAGAAUGAGGGCAGAGAAGUAGCCAGGGCUCAGAUUGUGUAGGAUCUUGAAAGGUAUACUAUGGACUUGAGCUUUCACUCUGACUGAGAUUGUUUUCAGUUAGGGGUCCUCUGGCUGACCUAUAAACUGUUAACUAUUGUCACAGGGUGAAUUAAAUGGAAGGAAUUGGUUAAAUGGGUAACAAGAAUCACAGGAAGCUGCUCCCAUCCCUAACUUCUGGGGAGCCAGAAAAAUUGAAGAUGGUACAAGCGGAAGCUUCUGGGGAGCCCCUGAGGACCUGUGGAGACACUUGCUGUCCAGUUGCUUCUGGUCCCUGAGGUGCUGAUGUGGAGUUAAUGUAUCAACAGAGCUCUGGAGACUGGAGAACCUACCUAAGAUGUGGGGCUGGACUUCCAAAAGAGGCUAUCUUGGUAUUGGCAGGUGACAGUGCCUGCACCUGUAGCCAGCCACAGUACUAUCAGUUUUGAAUACAUUUUCCUUCGAUGGAAUUGGAGGGUGAGCUAAUGGGACCAGAGUGUGUGCAGAAAUAUCACCAAAUCGCAAAAUAAUGGAAAACAGUCUACAUCACGAAUUACCCCAUAAACAGAAUGAUCACAGGCUACCUUAAUCAAGAUAGAGAAUUAAUCCUCAAAGAUACUAAGCUGUGGACAAUUUUGGCAAUUUGACAACCUAGCAAAACACGAAAUGGAUCCUUUGUGUUAUGAAAGCCCCACGUGUGCAUUUCUCUAAAUGAAAGUCUCCUGAACUUAAACCCAUGGACAUUUUAAAGAAAAUGCAGUAAGCCAAUGCUUCCUUGGCUAAAAACGUGUCUGUGCUCUGCAAACAAUGAACAGAACCCAGGAAGGGAGAUGCAGACCGCCUGCUGAGCCAGUCCUAGUUCUCUUCCCUGGAAAUCUUGUCCUUGCACAGAACUUCUGGAAACCAAUAAAAGAAAACUAAUGUGCUACCCAGAGCAGAGAAAAUGGAAAUCUGCUGAGUUAAUAUUGUGGGUCAUAAAAGUCACUCAAAGAGAAUUCUUUCAAUAAGGUGCCUACCAUAGUGGUUAUAUAAUUCUUCCAUGAAACUUACUUUUCUCUUUCUGAAAAGAAGUUUUGUUUUUUCUCUCAAAGAAUAAUGGUACUGCUUAACAUCCCCAGAACACAAUGUGAAUGAGCUUUUAAAAUUUUAUUCUAAUUACAAGAGAAAUAUAUUCUGAGUAUAGAAGAUGAGGAACAUAGAGAAAACCCUGAAGGAAUCAAACAACCCUAUUGUGAGAUAAAACUCAGGUAACAUUUUGGGAUAUUUAACAAUGUCUAUUGCCUUGACGCCAAAAAGUCGGCAUUAUUGUCGAACAUUAUUAUUAUUAAAGUUUGGAUGUAUUUCAUUUGAAUGAUGGCUAUAAAUAAAUUUUAAGCAGAAAGCAAAAAUGACUUUUCUUUUGAUUCCAGGGCCUUCUCAUUAAACUACAUCCUCAAUCCUUUCUUGUUUUCUUAUUUUGAGUCAGAGCCUUGCUAAACUGCCAUGCUGUUUAAAUUGGACUCAAAACAUGCAAUCCUCCUGCCUUACCCUUCCAAAAUAUUGGAAUUACAGGCAUGCAUUGGAAUCACAGGCAUUUAAAUUUUAAAACAGAUACAGCAACACCUGUAAAGAACAGUUGGGCAUUAUGCUCUUGAAAUUUUUGAAAAACUAGAUGCUUAGUUAAUGCUUCCUUUACUUAAAAUAUUUUAGUCUCUGUGUUGGAAUUGCCCUCAAAACUGGUAUAUGAGCCAAAACACAAAAGCAUCUUGUCAUUUUAUAGCCUAAAUGCUUCUUUAAAACCAGUUCUUUUUCUUGUCCUUCCCUACUCCCUCUUUUACAUAUUUGAUUUGUUUUUCAGGUCAUCUUCACCUGGAGAAGCAAAGCAGAGCUAUUUUCAGAUCAGUUGUGAAGAUAGGCUCAGCUUCAGCUAUUUCUACUGAUGGGAAAUGCUAUCUUGCAUAAAUAUUCCAUAAUUAUAUGCUAGUCAUUGUAUCCAGACUGUGCAGUAUGUCUGUUCCUCUCACAUUUGCAGAAGAGCAGCUCAGCAGCUACAAAACUGACAAAUUCAAAAUGUAGUUUUUAGUAACCUAAUGAUGGAGGUAAACUUUUCACCUUCAGCUUUUUCUCCUUUGGAGGUUAGUCAUUUCAAGCACAGAAGUUGCAAGAUUUCUUUGGAAGACUGAAGAUGCAGGGAAGU